CGGCGGACGGGUGAGUAAUGCCUAGGAAUCUGCCUGGUAGUGGGGGACAACGUUUCGAAAGGAACGCUAAUACCGCAUACGUCCUACGGGNGAAAGCAGGGGACCUUCGGGCCUUGCGCUAUCAGAUGAGCCUAGGUCGGAUUAGCUAGUUGGUGAGGUAAUGGCUCACCAAGGCGACGAUCCGUAACUGGUCUGAGAGGAUGAUCAGUCACACUGGAACUGAGACACGGUCCAGACUCCUACGGGAGGCAGCAGGG
RNAcentral lists this ribosomal RNA (257 nucleotides) under uncultured Pseudomonas sp. RNAcentral's name for it is "partial 16S ribosomal RNA". It matches the Rfam family "Bacterial small subunit ribosomal RNA", at positions 96 to 354 of the family's 1533-position model. Lineage: Bacteria; Pseudomonadati; Pseudomonadota; Gammaproteobacteria; Pseudomonadales; Pseudomonadaceae. The record is from RNAcentral.